Molecule: ribosomal RNA, 1065 nt
Filed under: uncultured bacterium
Lineage: Bacteria
Description: bacterial SSU rRNA
Rfam family: Bacterial small subunit ribosomal RNA
Source: RNAcentral
AGGACGAACGCUGGCGGCGUGCCUAAUACAUGCAAGUCGAGCGAGCUUGCCUAGAUGAAUUUGGUGCUUGCACCAGAUGAAACUAGAUACAAGCGAGCGGCGGACGGGUGAGUAACACGUGGGUAACCUGCCCAAGAGACUGGGAUAACACCUGGAAACAGAUGCUAAUACCGGAUAACAACACUAGACGCAUGUCUAGAGUUUAAAAGAUGGUUCUGCUAUCACUCUUGGAUGGACCUGCGGUGCAUUAGCUAGUUGGUAAGGCAACGGCUUACCAAGGCAAUGAUGCAUAGCCGAGUUGAGAGACUGAUCGGCCACAUUGGGACUGAGACACGGCCCAAACUCCUACGGGAGGCAGCAGUAGGGAAUCUUCCACAAUGGACGCAAGUCUGAUGGAGCAACGCCGCGUGAGUGAAGAAGGGUUUCGGCUCGUAAAGCUCUGUUGGUAGUGAAGAAAGAUAGAGGUAGUAACUGGCCUUUAUUUGACGGUAAUUACUUAGAAAGUCACGGCUAACUACGUGCCAGCAGCCGCGGUAAUACGUAGGUGGCAAGCGUUGUCCGGAUUUAUUGGGCGUAAAGCGAGUGCAGGCGGUUCAAUAAGUCUGAUGUGAAAGCCUUCGGCUCAACCGGAGAAUUGCAUCAGAAACUGUUGAACUUGAGUGCAGAAGAGGAGAGUGGAACUCCAUGUGUAGCGGUGGAAUGCGUAGAUAUAUGGAAGAACACCAGUGGCGAAGGCGGCUCUCUGGUCUGCAACUGACGCUGAGGCUCGAAAGCAUGGGUAGCGAACAGGAUUAGAUACCCUGGUAGUCCAUGCCGUAAACGAUGAGUGCUAAGUGUUGGGAGGUUUCCGCCUCUCAGUGCUGCAGCUAACGCAUUAAGCACUCCGCCUGGGGAGUACGACCGCAAGGUUGAAACUCAAAGGAAUUGACGGGGGCCCGCACAAGCGGUGGAGCAUGUGGUUUAAUUCGAAGCAACGCGAAGAACCUUACCAGGUCUUGACAUCCAGUGCAAACCUAGAGGAUUAGGAGUUCCCUUCGGGGACGCUGAGACAGGUGGUGCAUGGCU